AACGCUAGCUACAGGCUUAACACAUGCAAGUCGAGGGGAAACGACAUCGAAAGCUUGCUUUUGAUGGGCGUCGACCGGCGCACGGGUGAGUAACGCGUAUCCAACCUGCCCACCACUUGGGGAUAACCUUGCGAAAGUAAGACUAAUACCCAAUGAUAUCUCUAGAAGACAUCUGAAGGAGAUUAAAGAUUUAUCGGUGAUGGAUGGGGAUGCGUCUGAUUAGCUUGUUGGCGGGGUAACGGCCCACCAAGGCAACGAUCAGUAGGGGUUCUGAGAGGAAGGUCCCCCACAUUGGAACUGAGACACGGUCCAAACUCCUACGGGAGGCAGCAGUGAGGAAUAUUGGUCAAUGGGCGAGAGCCUGAACCAGCCAAGUAGCGUGCAGGAUGACGGCCCUAUGGGUUGUAAACUGCUUUUAUAAGGGAAUAAAGUGAGAGUCGUGACUCUUUUUGCAUGUACCUUAUGAAUAAGGACCGGCUAAUUCCGUGCCAGCAGCCGCGGUAAUACGGAAGGUCCGGGCGUUAUCCGGAUUUAUUGGGUUUAAAGGGAGCGUAGGCCGGAGAUUAAGCGUGUUGUGAAAUGUAGACGCUCAACGUCUGCACUGCAGCGCGAACUGGUUUCCUUGAGUACGCACAAAGUGGGCGGAAUUCGUGGUGUAGCGGUGAAAUGCUUAGAUAUCACGAAGAACUCCGAUUGCGAAGGCAGCUCACUGGAGCGCAACUGACGCUGAAGCUCGAAAGUGCGGGUAUCGAACAGGAUUAGAUACCCUGGUAGUCCGCACGGUAAACGAUGGAUGCCCGCUGUUGGUCUGAAUAGGUCAGCGGCCAAGCGAAAGCAUUAAGCAUCCCACCUGGGGAGUACGCCGGCAACGGUGAAACUCAAAGGAAUUGACGGGGGCCCGCACAAGCGGAGGAACAUGUGGUUUAAUUCGAUGAUACGCGAGGAACCUUACCCGGGCUUGAAUUGCAGAGGAAGGAUUUGGAGACAAUGACGCCCUUCGGGGUCUCUGUGAAGGUGCUGCAUGGUUGUCGUCAGCUCGUGCCGUGAGGUGUCGGCUUAAGUGC
This 1064-nucleotide ribosomal RNA is filed under the name uncultured Bacteroidales bacterium. RNAcentral's name for it is "bacterial SSU rRNA". It matches the Rfam family "Bacterial small subunit ribosomal RNA", at positions 32 to 1087 of the family's 1533-position model. Lineage: Bacteria; Pseudomonadati; Bacteroidota; Bacteroidia; Bacteroidales. The record is from RNAcentral.